RNAcentral lists this ribosomal RNA (2907 nucleotides) under Phycisphaerae bacterium. RNAcentral's name for it is "23S ribosomal RNA". It matches the Rfam family "Bacterial large subunit ribosomal RNA". The record is from RNAcentral. Lineage: Bacteria; Pseudomonadati; Planctomycetota; Phycisphaerae.
AUGGGGUCAAGCUACGAAGGGUGCAGGGUGGAUGUCUUGGCAUCGAGAGGCGAUGAAGGACGCGGUAGCCUGCGAAAAGCUCCGGGAAGCCGGCAAACGGGCAUUGAUCCGGAGAUCUCCCAAUGGGGAAACCCGGCCGGGGUAGCACCCGGCCACCCGCCGCUGAAUGCAUAGGCGGCGAGGAGCGAACGCGGCGAACUGAAACAUCUAAGUAGCCGCAGGAAAAGAAAGAGACAUCGAUUCCGUCAGUAGCGGCGAGCGAAAGCGGAAAGAGCCCAAACCGGGCUUCGGCCCGGGGUUGCGGAAGCAGAGAGGGGUUACAAAACCGGCUCUAGCCGAACGGCAUGGGAAGGCCGACCAAAGCGGGUGAUAGUCCCGUAGGCGAAAGGGCCAGGUCCCCGUUACCAUCUGCUCUCCAGAGUAGCACGGAGCUCGUGGAACUCCGUGUGAAUCCGGGCGGCCCACCGCCCAAGGCUAAAUACUCCUCGAUGACCGAUAGCGCACCAGUAGGGCGAUUGAACGAUGAAAAGCACAGCGACAAGCUGAGUGAAAAGCACCUGAAACCCUGCACUUACAAGCGGUCGGAGCCCUAUGGCCCCUUCGGGGGCAAGGGGUGACGGCGUACCUUUUGCAUAAUGGACCGGCGAGUGAACGUCAGCGGCGAGGCUAAGCUGCGUCAGCAGCGGAGCCGUAGCGAAAGCGAGUCUGAAACGGGCGACAGAGUCGUUGGCGUUCGACCCGAAACCACGUGAUCUACCCGUGGCCAGCGUGAACACUCCGUAAAAGGAGUGGGAGGCGCGAAGCCGUGAACGUUGAAAAGUUCUGGCAUGAGCUGCGGGGAGGAGUGAAAGUCUAAUCAAACGUGGAGAUAUCUGGUUCUCUUCGAAAUGCCUUUUGGGGCAGCCUCGAGCCACUACUCUUGCGGGGUAGAGCUACUGAAAGGGGACGUGGGGCUACCCGCCUACACGCUCCUAUCAAACUCCGAAUACGCAAGAGACUAUCUCGGGAGUGAGUCCGCGGGGGAUAAUCUUCGCGGUCAAGAGGGAAACAACCCAGAUCGUCUGCUAAGGUCCCGAAACAUCGCUCAGUUCGGUAGGAAGUUAUUCUGCGGAGACAGCCAGGAUGUUGGCUUAGAAGCAGCCACCAUUUAAAAAGUGCGUAAUAGCUUACUGGUCGAGCAGGAUAGCGCCGUAAAUGAUCGGGAAUAAGCGAUGUACCGAAGCAGCGGGAACGCGCAAGCGUUCGGUAGAAGAGCGUUGCAUGCCGCGUGGAAGGCGUACCGCAAGGAGCGCUGGAGCGCAUGCAAGUGAGAAUGCCGGUAUGAGUAACGAUAAGGCAGGUGAAAAUCCUGCCCGCCGAAAGCCUAAGGUUUCCUGGGGAAGGUAAAUCCGCCCAGGGUUAGCCGGAGCCUAAGACGAGGCCGAAAGGCGUAGUCGAUGGACAGCAGGUUAAUAUUCCUGCGCUGGCUGUUGCGGUUGAAGUGCGCGUGACGCUCCUGCAAGGUCGAUCCCCCGGUCAGAUGUGGGGGUCGGGCCCGGCGCAAGCCGGGGCCGCGAGGCCGAUUGGUUGCCGAAGUCGGCGGAGGAGGAGCCGAGAAAAACCGCGCAUGGACAAGACAGCCAUCCGUACUAAAACUGACACAGGUAGGCGAGGAGAAUAUCCUCAGGCGCUCGAGAGAACUGCGGUUAAGGAACUAGGCAAACUGACCCCGUAACUUCGGGAUAAGGGGUCCCGUCUCCCUUCGGGGAGCGGGCGCAGGAAGUGGCCCGGGCGACUGUUUAUCAAAAACACAGCUCUGUGCAAACUCGCAAGAGGAUGUAUACAGAGUGACGCCUGCUCGGUGCCGGAAUGUUAAGGAAGCCGGUCAGGGGGUUCGCCCCCGAAGCUGGCGACCGAAGCACCGGUAAACGGCGGCCGUAACUAUGACGGUCCUAAGGUAGCGAAGUUCCUUGUCGGGUAAGUUCCGACGCGCAUGAACGGCGUAACGACUUGGGCGCUGUCUCAACCGCAGACUCGGUGAAAUUGAAGUGGCGGUGAAGAUACCGUCUACCCGCAGCAAGACGGAAAGACCCCGUGGACCUUUACUGCAGCCUGGUACUGACGCCGGGUGGAAACUGCGUAGGAUAGGUGGGAGGCGUCGAUCCCUUGGUUUCGGCCAAGGGGGAGCCAGCGGUGAAAUACCACCCUGUUUGCAUUCGUCGUCUCACCCCAGUCCCUGAAUCGGGAUGGGGAACCGUGCUAGGUGGGCAGUUUGACUGGGGCGGUCUCCUCCCAAAGAGUAACGGAGGAGUGCAAAGGCAGGCUCAGUCCGGUUGGCAAUCGGACGUGGAGUGCAUAGGCAGAAGCCUGCUUGACUGUGAGUGCUACGGCACGAGCAGAGGUGAAAGCCGGCCUAAGUGAUCCUGUGGUAGCGUGUGGAAGCGCCAUAGCUCAACGGAUAAAAGGUACCCCGGGGAUAACAGGCUGAUCUCCCCCGAGCGUCCAUAGCGGCGGGGAGGUUUGGCACCUCGAUGUCGGCCCGUCACAUCCUGGGGCUGAAGGCGGUCCCAAGGGUUUGGCUGUUCGCCAAUUAAAGUGGCACGCGAGCUGGGUUCAGACCGGCGUGAGCCAGGUCGGUCCCUAUCUGCUGUGGGCGCAGGAACCUUGACGGCACCUCUUCCAUAGUACGAGAGGAUUUGGAAGGACGGACCCCUGGUGUACCAGUUGUCCCGCUUGGGGCACGGCUGGGUAGCUAUGUCCGGAAAGGAUAAACGCUGAAAGCAUCUAAGCGUGAAGCCUAUGCCAAGACAAGGGUUCCAUGGGAGCUUGCUCCCGAGAGACCCCGGGCAGACCACCCGGUUGAUAGGCCGCAGCUGUAAGAGUCGAGAGACUUUCAGGCCAGCGGUACUAACGGUCGAUCGCUUGAUC